AUGAUUCCUGGUUCCCAUUACAUCCCCACAACUUGGGAGUCUGCUCGGCUAGCGGGGAAGAGCAUUCCAAUUUGGCAGGGAUGGUUCCAGGUCUGGAUGACCUGCCGCCAGCCACCAGGCUGGUCUCUCUUCCAAGCCAACGUGGUGUACACUUUGCCGGAGGCUGCCGGCAGCUGUUCAGCCCACGGCAGCCCCUCCCCCUGGAGUCCUGACACCUGCCUUGGUUUCCGGGCAGGUGCCUUCCACACCUGGUCUCCAGGCUCCAAACACCCGCCCAAGCGGACUGGUUCCGCUUUCCACUUGGGUCAAGGAGCCCCUCCUCCUCUUUGGGGCACCCUGGGGAGCAGCAGCUGGGGAGACAUUGUCACCACUGUGGCUGGUCCCAGGCCUGACUCACUUAUCCACAGCUUCCCUGUCCACAGCUUCCUCCCCGCCACACCCUGUGACCCUCGGAAGAUGACAGCGCAAGCACACCGCUGUCCACCACUGAUCAUCACAUUAUACUCAGGCUGGUCUCCCAUCCCACUUCAUCCCUUUUGUCACGCCUUUAAAAAAAUGUACACAUUUAUUUUCAUUUUAUUUGAAAAGCACAGAGACACACAGAGAGAUCUCUUACCUGUUUGUUCACUCCCCAAGAGAGAAGUAACAGCCGGAGCCAGGGCCAAAUCCAGGAACCUGAAGCCCCAUCUGGGUCUCCCACAUGGGUACCAGGGACUCAAGGACCUAAGACAUCACCUGCUACCUCCCAGGAUGUGCAGUAGCAGGAAGCUGGAGCGGGGAGUGGAGCCGGAACUUGAAACCAGGGCCCGGAUGUGGGAUGCAGGUGUCCUGCACCCACCCUCUUGUCCACCUCCGCUUGGACAGAGACACUGUUGUUGCUUCCCACCUGGCAGAACAGGCAUUCACAGCUCCCAGGGACCUGCCAGGACCACCACACACUCACUAGGACAGGAGACAGUGGACCCUGCUGCUGUCCGGUCCCAAGCCACACACGGCUCUGUAUUUGACAGCCUUCUCUCCGGGAGUACUUGCUAA
This 1035-nucleotide long non-coding RNA is filed under the name Oryctolagus cuniculus (rabbit). Its description in RNAcentral is "lncRNA (ENSOCUG00000034832.1)". The record is from RNAcentral. Lineage: Eukaryota; Metazoa; Chordata; Mammalia; Lagomorpha; Leporidae.